AUGCAAAACACCAAGCCCCUACUACCGGCCAUGGCGUUCGCCGACGAGUACAAGGACGUGGAGGCCCACGACAACACCAAGUUGCACGUCAUCCACACCAACGACAAGAAGCAGGUGGCGAUCACCCUCGCGCAGUACGAGCGCCACCUCAGCCUCCAGCGCCACAAGAUCGUCGGCAUUGAUCUCGAGUACAACAACGAGCCUGAAGCGACGCAGAAACCCGCCCUCUGCCAAUUCUCCAUCGGCAAGAAACACCCGGUGCUGCUCUUCCAACUGAGCGCCGUUGAAAGGUGCACCGUCUUCGACAACUUCCUCGCCGACCCCAGGUACACCUUUGCAGGCUUCUCCAUCGACGGCGACAAAAAAAGGCUAGAGCGCGUCAAUCUGGAGGUCGCCAACUUCGUCGACAUCCAGAAGGAGUGGAGGGUGCCCGAGGCAACCAAGGAGUUGGACUCCCUUGGAGACGUCUUCGGCAUGCUCAUCGACGACUACUACAACAACAUGAAGAAGAAGAUCACCGACGACGAGCACAAGCGCUGGGCCACCCUGCCUCUGUCCAUGAGGCACAUCGAGUACGCGGCAAAGGACGCCUACGAAGCGUACGAGAUAUGGAAACACAUCACCCUCACACAGGACGGGCUUCGCCGUGCAAAGCUGGAGAAGGAGGAGCCCCCCAAGAAGCGCGCCAGGAGCAGCUGGGGAUGGGGAGACGCUGACUGA
RNAcentral lists this ribosomal RNA (720 nucleotides) under Triticum aestivum (bread wheat). Its description in RNAcentral is "partial small subunit ribosomal RNA". The record is from RNAcentral. Lineage: Eukaryota; Viridiplantae; Streptophyta; Magnoliopsida; Poales; Poaceae.